AUUCAAAAAGGGUUUCCAGCUUGAAUAUAUAUAUAGAAGACGGCAGUUUUCUUGGAGCAAGGGAGGCUAAAAGAAAAGGAGUUGAGGGAGAUUGUACACGUAGAGAGAGCCGGCUAAGGGAAAACAUUGGAUUACCAAUACAAUUGGGUGGCUGAAUUUGAUAAAAAAAAAGGGGCUGGAAUUGCACAAGUUAAAGCAUUAAAGUUGAUGUGAGGAUUAUAAAAUCAAGCAUUAGCAGCCAAUUUGGGGAUUGAUUAUUGUACACGUAUAUAGGCGGCUGGAAUUGAUUUUAUAUACACAGAUAGUAGCCUCCUGGAGUUGAUAUAUACACACAUACACGCAGAGAGAAGCAGCCAAGAUUAUUAGAUUAGGCACAAAACAAAAGCCGAGUUGCUGGGAAUUGGACUACAAAAAAGUAGGCUGCUGUAGAAAUCAUAUAUAAAUGCCAACAGAAAACGGACGGUGGGGGGGGGGGGGGGGGGGGGGGGGGGACAGAAACUGAAGGAUAAAAAGCGGUAGCUUGUGGAGAAAAGUGGCAGAAACUGAAAGCGAUUUCGGCUGAUUUGGCGAGUUGUUUUGGAGUCAAAAAUUUCAGUUGGUUGCUGCAAAUAAAGUCAGCAGUUGGCUGGAGAAAAACAUAGAAGAAAAGCGCAAAAAAAUAUAUACAAAUUGGCGGCUGAUUACAUGAAUUAAUUUGGAACCGACGCAGAUUGAGGUGGCAGCUUUGGAAGGAAUUUGGAAAUCAUUCACGUUCCGUCAAUUACUCGGUGAUGUUGCUCCAACUUUAUUUAUUUAAUUCCUUGACGUUAAAUUCGCUUAAUUGUUUGGGUGUUUACUAUGGUUUAACUUGUUUUUCAAUUACUUGGCCAAUAAUUGAAUUGUUUGUGGAUUUUAUUGUCAUCGAGAGAGAUAAUAGGAUCUUUAGCUCCUAAUAAUAGACGACGUGAGAUUCGAUAGAUAAUAGAGAUAUACCUCGAUGCUUUACAUGGUUGUUAAAGAUGUUCUAGCUCGUUAAUAUUUUUUUAGACGUUCGUAUUUUUCAUAGAGAUAUAGUAAAAUCAAGUGUAGGAUUAGAUUUAAUUACUAUCGAAAUAGGCUUUUAAAUAAAAUAGGAACAUUGACCAACAAGCAUGAUUUCAAAUUGUCAGUUUAAAUUAUCGAACUAAAAUGGAGUAGCAAAGAGGAUUCCACAUCUUAGUAAUACUUCUCGCAAAUUUGAUAAACUUUUUCUUUGCUUUCUAUUUAAUUGAUAGAUUUAAUAAAGUUAGUUACAACUCGACCUUGCUAUUCGAAUAAGGGAAUUAUUAGCUUUAACUCGAUCAAACAUAUAGUCAUCGUGGGUUCGACACUUUACACACCACUUUAUUAUCUGUUUACGAUCUCGUUCACUUGUGGGUAAUCAAACGCAUAAGUGUUUCCUCAUAGGAGCAUCCACAAAUUUGAUCAAUUAUUCUUCUUGCUUUGUCAGCCGAUAGAGAUAUAUGUCGACCUAAAGCGUAUACUUAUGUUUUUUUUCUUUCGCAUAAGGUUUACCUUGUCGCGCGAAAUAGCAAUAGAGCUUUUCCAGACAUUUGUAAUUCGUGGCUGCCAUAGGAGCACCAAAUAAAAAAAAAAAAAAAAAAGUUAAUAAGGAAAAGGAGAAACUUCUAAAAACUUCAGCUUCAAAUAAUAUUUAGCAGCUGAAAAAAGACACUGCAUGAUUGAAAACUAUGUACAUUGAGAUAAAGACUAAAGUAACUUACGGAAAAUUAAAGUUAGGAUCCCCAUAGAUAUUGACAUUCGGAUACUACAACAAAGUUUACUCUUUAAGGUGUGCAAAGUUAUUUACGACGUAUAGGCUCAUGCCAUAGAAAGUCAUGCCGUAAAUACUAGCAUCCUUUUACGGCAUGCAAUGAAAAACAUGCCAUUAAUAUAUUUUUCACGGCGUGCACUUGCAUGCUAUAAAUACUCAACUCUUUUAUGGCGUGCACUUACAUGCCGUAAAUGUGAAUUUCAUUUGUUAAAAAUAUUUAUUUAUUUAUUUACCAACAAGCUUAUAAUAAUUAAUAAUUAAAAGGACUAUAUAUACUAACACAUAUAAUAUAAUCAUGUUUUGCAUAAUUUCAAUGAAUAAAAAUAUUAAGUGCUAUCAAAUACAAUAUUCAAAAAUGUAGAGAACAUCAUUAGCUUAGUCAAAAAGUCGAUAUCAAUAUACCAAAAGUAUCGAUUACAACUCCAAAAAUAACUUAUUAAAAUAGUACAAAAUAUUCGACCCAUAUUGAAGACAUCCCACAAUCAUGGUGAUCUUCUGUUGGCAAGCAAGCAUUUGGACCAGAUUUGUAGCUUGUAACAUGGUCAACGGAUACCGAAUUGCUACAUGCCAUAUGCUUUUUUUUAGUCUGUGAGACUGAAUAGUCCUGGAACCAAAAAUAAAGAGGAAAAGUAAUUAAUCAUGGUGUACCUUUAUGAAAUAAAUACCAAGUAACAAACAUCAAUUUCAUUUCACUUGGCCUGGUGUAUAUGGCUACUGAAAUUUAUGAGUAAGGUCCUCUUUGUUAUGGUUCUUGUCCAAAAUUUAAGAGUAAACAACAAAACAAGUAAAAUAAGAUAAAAAAAUUGCUAGAAGAGCAAACUAGACAUACCCAAGUCAUGGCUACUUGUGCUUUUGACUCCAUUACUUGUGCAACUUCUUGGACUUCAUGAACCAAUCCAAUUUCAAGUAAUGAAAGAAUAUGCAUCUACGUUAUUUAACUAACAGCAACUAAAAAGAAAAAUAAAAACCAGGACAAUGUGACUCAAAACCAUAGCCGAAGGUUAACCACAAGACAUCAUAGAUCAAUUUAUAAAGAAACUAGACUAGAUAAAUGGUGGCAACGAGAAUUAAUAUUCUUUAGUCACUAUCAUAAACAAAAGGUCCAUUUGUGAAAAUAACGAGACCAUAAAAUUCAUAAGAAUGAUAGCUAGCAAUUUAUAAAAUUAUAUUAACGACUACGAACUUAAAGGGGGAAUGAGAACCAAAAAGGCUAGUCUCAAAACCCAGUUACAGGAAAUUUGGAGCAGUGGUGAGAAGAGAUGUGUUUAGAGCCACAUUUUUCCUACCUCUUAGUAAAUGAAAAGAAUAUUUUGUAAUUAAGUUCAGAGACCAUAUAUACCAACAAGGCAUUUAUUUAAGAAUAAAAUUCCAAUCCAACAUUUUGGCUGCAACACAACUAGAAAAAAGUUUAGUCAAAAUGUGUGAAGAUCAUAGUAGACCUUGUUCUGAACCCGAUUGGUCUGAUACUUCCCUCCAACUUCAUUUGGUCCAUAGUUCAUUCCAUUGUAUGCCACUGCUAGAAAUGGUCAAUGAAUACAUUACCGUAAAGAAGCAAUUGAAAUUGAAAACGAAGCACGAACUUUCCAAAACAAUUUCCUAUAAACACCAUUGAAAUUGCAAAAACUAUGAAGCAUAAACAUCGAUGAAAUAACUCCAACAUAACAUGCAAAACUUCUGCAAAAAUUUAUAGGCUAAAAAAUCUAACAUGAGCAUAAAUUAAUGAAUUCACCAAUCUCUGCAAUUAUCUAUAAUUUAAGAUCAUCUCAUAUUCCCAUUUUAUGAAUGAGAAUAGUCCCUCCUUUAGCAAAAGGCAUUUUAUCUCCAAGCGUUUAAAACAAGUUAUACAAGUCAUACCCGAGACUUUCCAAAGUACAUUCCCAAUAGUUACUAUACCAUGCACAGAAUGAACUGGUGGUGCAGGAACUCUGCUUUCACCAGAUUUAAAUGAAAAAUCACUUCAAAAUAUAUAGAAUAGAGAUAAGAAUGAGAAUACAUAGGGAAAGCCACUAGAGUAGAAGAAAAGCCUAUCUAGUCUCACAAAGAUAAGAUUAUUCAAUUUUGUUGACUUAAACUUCCUAACAUCCCCCCAGGGAUAUUAGGAACUGAGGCUCAGGCGCUAUAGGUUUUGUGGUAGAUUAUUGAGAGUUCAAUUUUUUGUAAUGGCAAGGAGGAUGAGAGAUGGUGGCUUUUACCCACCAUCCUGCUAUUGUUCAAGACAAUUCAAGCUCGGUUUGUAGAUUGGCACAUAGCAAAUUUAGAAGUCUGAGAUUUGUCUCUCUUCAGUCCUGACCUCGAUACAUUUUGAGCCUACAAAUCUGUUUCUUGAUGCAAAAUUGUUUGCAGGAGGAAGUGGACUGGAUUUUUCAGCAUCUAUACAGUAAAUAGGGUCACCAUGUACACACAUCUCAGAGUAAAAUAGGAUCUUUAAUCAGAGUAAUGGAAUUGUUUUUACCAUGUACAUAUAUGUUCCCAUUUGAGCAUAGUUUAGAGAAAAUUAUAAUUGGGUGAUAAAUUUAAAGGUAGAUAGACAUGUUACAAGUUUGGUGACUGAAGCUUACUAUAGAUUCUAAUCAUUCCAAAUCAAUAAUGAAAUCGUAUUUUGGCACUAAAUGUUGUGAAAUAGCUACUCGUUGGCCACUGCCCAAUGCAUGCCCAAAUCAAUUCCCACCUACAUUCAAUCCCACAAAUCACAUAAACAUAAUACCCAGGCCCCAACAACUCAUUUUCAAAUAGAAACCCUCCUCAAGUUUUAACAAACAAAUAUAAUAUCAAACAUUCUGAAGCCGGAAUUAGAAUGUUAGGGUUCAUUGAAGCUUACGGGAAGUGGAGAGAUCCGAGCAAUGGUGAGAAAAAGAAAUAAAUUGAAAUCAAAUACUUCCAAUGGCGUCGGUGACUCACAGUGAUCGACAGAUUUUGAGUGAUUUCUCUGUAGUCGCGGGAUGAACUCUGCUGUUCGUGCUCUUUUCAAUUUUGAGGGAUUUAAGUUUAACUAUUUGGGCCGUUUCUGUAAAAGAUUGGCGGGCUUCGUAAAUUUUAAUUUUUUUACAUACACUACAAGCACUAAAAGCAUGCCGUAAAUUCUCAUUUAAUAUGGCGUGCAAAGGAUGUACGCCAUAAAUACUUUAAUUAAUUAAUCUUUUACGGCAUACAUAUAGCGCACGCCGUAAUUAGUCUAUUUUUACAACAUGCCAUAGAUGCACGCUGUAAAGGAAUGUCAUAAAAGGCUGUUUUUGUUGUAGUGGGAGCACUACCAUACUCCGACAAACAAAUUGAACGGGUAUCCUCACUAUCACAUUUUGCAACCUCAAUAGGGGACAUUUUCGUAUGACCAUAAACUACACAAUCAGGGGGUGGGUUUGGAUCGUGCAAUGCCACAUGCUACCAUGAGGUUAUCAUUUGAAGCAAAUUGAAAGUUGUUUAGCAAUACUACAAAUAAGUAUCGCAACAACAAUACUAGAUGUGCCCGUAAGAAUGGAAGCAGGCAAACAAAAAAGGCUAACCAAUUAGCAUUUGGAUCCCAAUUCUUGACAUAUAAAAUCAAUCCAGAAACUGAUGAAUUUCACCGAGAUCCUCAAAAUCAAUUUUCGGAUCUAGAUCUUUCUUCAACUGUUGAACUCCUAAAGCCAUCAUAGGGACCACAUUGUUGUACCUAACUUUGAUCAUCUUAAUCAUUUAGGUGAAUUCUAACUCAUCAUUCUUAGCCUUAAUAACUGGAAAGGAUCUAAGGUCACGGAAAGAAUUCAAAUACCAAUCUCUUACCUAGUAAGAGGACAAAUAAGAAAUCAACAUGUAUUUAAUCGUUAGUACAAUACAAUCUUUUCUCAAAAAAAUAGAAAAAAACAAUGAAACAUCAUGUAAUAGCUACCUCAACAUUGAGUAGAAUCAAGUACUUGGUCCAAUUGUGCAUCUAGAAUUCCCCACGCAUAAUUGUGCAAAUAAAUUAGACACGGUCAUACGAUAAAAAGAUGUAGAUGGAAGGUACACAUUGUACUUACCAACAAUGCACUGUCCAAUUCAUGCCAAAAGGGCAUAUAUCAUUUGAAAAUAAAAAACAUGCAAAUUAAAUUGAAGAACAUUCUUAUACAUAAAUCAUGAUUUGAAACUUCUCAUCCAUGACUAAACAAUUAAAUAUGAUCAAAACACAUUUAGAUAAACAAAAGGAUGCAUAAGCAGUCCGUUAAUCCACAUGGUCUGCUUUUAAUAUAAUUUCGCAACCGAAUCAGAAAACACGAUCAAAAACAUAAAUGGAUAAAAAGCACCCGUUUUAAAUUAAUCAAUCCGUAAUUCUCAAAAAUUAUCGAACAAGAUAAGAUGCGGAAAACAAAAUCCAAAUUAAAUAAAAAGGUAAUAUUGAAAACCCUGAAGGGAAAAUAUACGUUCAAAACAGCAGGAUUAUGGGACAAACCAUAGGAGAGCGACUCCAACUAAAUAGCCCGACGAGCGAUCCGAAUAGGUAACUCCUUGUGGAGGAAUUGAGCAGAAAUGAGCAAAUUUCGAUCGAUGGGUCGGGACCUAAAUUUCAUCAUGUAAUAGACGCUAACACCCAUCUGUUUCAUGGCACCCCAUUUCUGCACUUCCUGUAUUAGCCACUUGGAGAUUCCCUCCGCCGCCUUCUCAGCCGCCAUGAAACCAACCUCCAAUUGAAUUUUAUAUUCACCGGUGCACAAACAAGGAGUGAAUUGGAGGAUAUGUACAAUGGCUAAAUUGACAUGCUAGCAUUACAUAUGCAUGCACAAAAUAGUCAAUUAUUGUUUCUGUAAAUGUAGUUGUUAAAACACACGGAGGCAACCUUCAGAAGAGAGGGGGCAUAUGUUACAACCCAAUUUAUCUAGUCAAAAAUCAAGAGUUGAGUUUUCAAAGUCAAAGUUAAAUAGGACCUUAAUGGAGUGAAUUGUUUUAUUGGGGUUAUUUUACAAAUUGACAAUCCUUGAGGAUUUAACAUGGACAUCAUUUAAAUUUGAGGAUUUAUUUUACAAGAAUGGAAAGUUAAUGACUAGACUUUAUUUAAAACAUAAAAGGAGGGACUUGACUUGCAAUUAUUCAAUAAUUAUCCAUUAAAUAUCAUCUAUAUUACUCAUUUUCUCAUAUUUUGGGGGAAAAUGAGAGAAGGCUCGAGAGAACCUGAGAGAGAAGAAAAAAGAAGGGAAGAAAGAAGAUGAAGAAGAAGAAGAAGACGACAAAGAAGAAAGAAGAUUAUUUCAAGCUAGGGUUUUCAAGUUCUUCAAUUUCUCUUUGAUUUAGCAUGGUAUGUAUAAAGUAUAUUGUUUAAGGGAUAUGGACAAUUUGCUUUAAUUCAAUGUUUAGCAAGAAAUAUGUGUUAUUGAUAUGUAUUUGAUGUUAUAAAUAAAGAUAUAGCAAAGAAAUGUUUAUUUGGAUAUUGAUGUUGAAAAAGGUGGAAACUUUGGAAAUGGGUUUGUGAGAUAAAUGCAUAUUCUUUGAAAUUCUUGUGAUUAUAUGAUGCUAAACACUUAGAUUAAGGAUUUGAGGUUGAAAUUCUCCAAAUUUUCAGCCAUUUUCGAGCUAUUGUAGUAUACCAGAAAAGUGCUAUUUCUGUCCGUGUUUUCGAUGAUAGAUUUUAAUAUAUAGACAUUGGUGCUAGUUUCAAUAUUCUGGAAUUAUAGUGCUAGUUUUGCCAAUCAUAUAAUUUUGGUGGAUUUUUAGUAUUGGAACCAAAUUAAGUAUUGAAUAUUUGGGGUUUUGGUGUUAAAAUAAUUUAUAUGAAGGAGUACAUGUAGUGAUCUUAAUUGGGAUUAUGAAGUUGAAAAUAAAAUAUAUCAAGUCCCCAUUGGUAAAUUAAUAUUUCUAAUGGUAGGAAAAUACUCAAGACUCCUCUAUGAAGGGAUAUAAUUUAUUGUAGCGAGAGCGAGAUAACAUUCUUGGUAUUGAAAGUGAGAAGGCGAUGAGAAGAUCGAAACAAUGAUCAACUAUAACUUGGUGAAUGGAUAUAAAACUUAUUUUUUAGAAAUUAAUUAUUUAUUAAAUUUACAUUAGAUUAGAAAAUUUAUUAUUUCAGACAGUUGAUUUGACCACGUGAUUUUUAGAAUGAAAUGGAUUUAUAAUCAGUUACUUUUAAAGUUAAAAUCAGUUUAAUUAAAUCAUUUCACUACCAUGUUUUAUUCGAACUACAUGUUUCAGUAUAGUCAAAGUUAUUUUUUAAAAACCACCAGAAUGUACCCAGGUGAUUUUACUCGCUUUACAUUGGUGUGAAUAUGUUUCCAUAGUGCAUGAUCAGUUAUGGUGAUUUUACCCACUCUACACUAUUGUGAAUGUGUUUCCAUAGUGUUUGACCAAAAUUACAGAAUUUCAGCUCUGCGUGUGUAUGACCAGAAUUUAAGAAUUAUAGAUUUCAGAACUAAAUAGUUUUACCAUGUAUAUCAGUACUAACCGAUACAUGAGUAAGGUUAUUCCGGGUACCUUUUUGGUGUGAUUUUUUAGUAUUUUUACAACUUAUCAGAUUUCAGAUUAUAGAAUUCGGCCUAUUCAGUUCUCAGAUUAAAACUUUCAGCUUAUAGUAUUGAGCAGCAGCAAUAUUUCAUAGAUUUUCAUGGAUGUCAUAUUAUUUAUAUUCGUUGCAUUUUACAGUUACUUAUCUAGAAGAACAAAGAAUUUUAUAAUGUUUUCAUGUUUAAUUUUAAAAGUGUUACCAGAUUUCAGAAUUUCUAGAAGUUUUAGUAGUGCAAUAAUUUUCAGAAAAUAUGUAUAAAUGAGAAAAGUUUACUUAUUUGAAAAUUAUCCACUCACUGAGCUUUAAACUCAUAUAUUUUUUCUCCUUUUUCUUUAUUGACAGAUAGCAGCCGAUUUGAGCAGCUUUAGAGCAUGUUAAAUCACCGAAUUGAGCCACGCUUCGUAGGUUGUAUGACAUCCUUUAUCAGAUUAUACAGUAUGUGUUCUUUUGGAGUACAUGUAUCUUAAAUCAAAAAAAUUCAUCAUGGGCUCAUUACAUCUUUGACAUAUUUGGUAUAUUUGAGGCUUGUUGGUUGUAAAGCAAGUAAAUAUUGAAUGGCUAGCAUUUUAUUUGAAUAGUUUGUAUUAUGAGGUACUGAGGUACCCUGUUUUAUAUUAUAGGUAUUGAAUUGUGGAAACUUGGUUAUUGUCCAGGUGGUUUUAGUUCAUAUUUUAGGGAAAACUCUGUCAAAUUUUGUUAAAAAUAUUUUUCAGUCAAGCAAGUCAAGUUGUCUUGGUGGUAGGUCCAGCAUUUAACUGGUAUCUACCAUCAGAGCACUGUACGUGUCGGAUCUAC
RNAcentral lists this long non-coding RNA (9032 nucleotides) under Olea europaea subsp. europaea. The record is from RNAcentral. Lineage: Eukaryota; Viridiplantae; Streptophyta; Magnoliopsida; Lamiales; Oleaceae.